UGUCUAACCACAGAACAGCCUAAUGAACAGCUGUAGGUCAGGUGUCUAACCACAGAACAGCCUAAUGAACAGCUGUAGGUCAGGUGUCUAACCACAGAACAGCCUAAUGAACAGCUGUAGGUCAGGUGUCUAACCACAGAACAGCCUAAUGAACAGCUGUAGGUCAGGUGUCUAACCACAGAACAGCCUAAUGAACAGCUGUAGGUCAGGUGUCUAACCACAGAACAGCCUAAUGAACAGCUGUAGGUCAGGUGUCUAACCACAGAACAGCCUAAUGAACAGCUGUAGGUCAGGUGUCUAACCACAGAACAGCCUAAUGAACAGCUGUAGGUCAGGUGUCUAACCACAGAACAGCCUAAUGAACAGCUGUAGGUCAGGUGUCUAACCACAGAACAGCCUAAUGAACAGCUGUAGGUCAGGUGUCUAACCACAGAACAGCCUAAUGAACAGCUGUAGGUCAGGUGUCUAACCACAGAACAGCCUAAUGAACAGCUGUAGGUCAGGUGUCUAACCACAGAACAGCCUAAUGAACAGCUGUAGGUCAGGUGUCUAACCACAGAACAGCCUAAUGAACAGCUGUAGGUCAGGUGUCUAACCACAGAGCAGCCUAAUGAACAGCUGUAGGUCAGGUGUCUAACCACAGAACAGCCUAAUGAACAGCUGUAGGUCAGGUGUCUAACCACAGAACAAGGGGCACGGCAGUAGUAACAGACAGCAGUAGUAACAGACAGCAGUAGUAACAGA
This is a long non-coding RNA of Oncorhynchus keta (chum salmon), 744 nucleotides long. RefSeq lists it as uncharacterized. The transcript is spliced from 3 exons. The record is from RefSeq and is a predicted model, not a curated record. NCBI's taxonomy places the organism in Eukaryota, Metazoa, Chordata, Actinopteri, Salmoniformes, Salmonidae.